RNAcentral lists this transfer RNA (68 nucleotides) under Horornis vulcanius. RNAcentral's name for it is "tRNA-Phe". The record is from RNAcentral. Lineage: Eukaryota; Metazoa; Chordata; Aves; Passeriformes; Scotocercidae.
GUCCCUGUAGCUUAUAAAAAGCAUGACACUGAAGAUGUCAAGAUGGCUGCCAAACACACCCGGGGACA